AACUGUGUUGUGCCAUCGAUUGACAGCGAAGAGUCGGCUGCAGGUGACAGUGACCACAGCCGGUACGGUCAGAUGGGGCAGAGUGUUGGCAGCCACGUGUGUUACCGGGGUACAGCAGCAGGGGUGAGCAUGAUGGUGCGGUGAAGAUGGAAGAAGGAGAUUCAAAUGUCUCCACCUAAAUGUAGUAGAACCUGUGUGCAAAGAAAGCAGACCACUUCAGAGAGCGUCUCUCACAGGGCACGCAUUUAUUAACAUGUGGACUUCUGUCACAUAUGUCAAAGAAGUCUAUUAUAAACUUUUAGAUCUAAAUUUCUCAGAUUGCAAUCAGAAUUGUGGGACUUCACAGAUGGUUAACAUGAAACUGCAACCAUAUGUAACUCUCAAAAUUAUAUUAAAUAAAAACUGGGUUUGGUAAAAUCAUCUUGGGAUAACGGUUUGCACUAACUCUUUGUCAGUGGUUAGGCUACUAUCACCUGGGUUAGAAACUGGACAUGACAGACGUUUUAACAUUUCUCAAGUUGGAACUGUUUUGCAGCAUCUUUUUGGAGAAAUAAAUA
This is a long non-coding RNA of Thalassophryne amazonica, 557 nucleotides long. RefSeq lists it as uncharacterized. Lineage: Eukaryota; Metazoa; Chordata; Actinopteri; Batrachoidiformes; Batrachoididae. The transcript has 3 exons. The record is from RefSeq and is a predicted model, not a curated record.